This 460-nucleotide ribosomal RNA is filed under the name uncultured bacterium. RNAcentral's name for it is "partial 16S ribosomal RNA". It matches the Rfam family "Bacterial small subunit ribosomal RNA", at positions 338 to 795 of the family's 1533-position model. The record is from RNAcentral.
CCUACGGGAGGCAGCAGUGAGGAAUAUUGGUCAAUGGACGAGAGUCUGAACCAGCCAAGUAGCGUGAAGGAUGACUGCCCUAUGGGUUGUAAACUUCUUUUAUAUGGGAAUAAAAUGUUCCACGUGUGGGAUUUUGUAUGUACCAUAUGAAUAAGGAUCGGCUAACUCCGUGCCAGCAGCCGCGGUAAUACGGAGGAUCCGAGCGUUAUCCUGAUUUAUUGGGUUUAAAGGGAGCGUAGGUGGAUUGUUAAGUCAGUUGUGAAAGUUUGCGGCUCAACCGUAAAAUUGCAGUUGAAACUGGCAGUCUUGAGUACAGUAGAGGUGGGCGGGAUUCGUGGUGUAGCGGUGAAAUGCUUAGAUAUCACGAAGAACUCCGAUUGCGAAGGCAGUUCACUGGACUGCAACUGACACUGAGGCUCGAAAGUGUGGGUAUCAAACAGGAUUAGAUACCCUUGUAGUC